Molecule: non-coding RNA, 23 nt
Filed under: Arabidopsis thaliana (thale cress)
Lineage: Eukaryota; Viridiplantae; Streptophyta; Magnoliopsida; Brassicales; Brassicaceae
Source: RNAcentral
AUAUUCAAGGUUCGCAAUGGCCA